CAAAGCAGUAAUUAUGGACUGUAUAUAGUUCCAUUAAAGGAAGAAAUUUAGUAAAUUUGCUCUUCAUAAAUAUUUGCGUAAUAAAUGAAUGAAUACCCAGAUCAAAGGGAGAAGGUUAACGAGCAGAUGUAAAGACUAGAGGUUCAGGUAUACCGCUGUUGCCUCAGAGGAUGUCAAAUCUAAAUACGAACCAUGAACCCAAGGUUUUGGUUUUUUUUUAAAUUCUCAGAGCAUGUUAUGGUAAUUAGAUGUUUAGCUAAUAAGAUCCAUAUUUGUUCUAGCCUAUUAGGACUAAAUAUAACAACAAUCUUUCCAUUUUGAUGAUACUAUUACUUCUUCCAACACGCUUACAUAUAUCUAUUUUAAUUCCCCCAGUUGUCUGGAGAGUGAAGACAGAAAUUCCCAUCUUACAGAUGGACAAACUGUGGCCUAGAGAAGUUAGAGAUUUAUACCACUGAGGACUGUGGCCACGAGAGGGCAGUAGAGGAAGCUUAUCAGAAUACUUGGACAGGAGUAAACUCGUGUGCGCUCUAAUCGCGAGCAGGGACUACGCAGAUCCUGCGAACUCGCUGGGGUCCAGCUUGCAGGCCGCUUCCGGAAAGCCGUGUCUAGAGGCUGCGGAGUUACUGAGACUGUGUGGCGAGGAAUCAGUGGCCUUGAGGGCACCGAGACAUUGUCAUCCAGAAUCCCGAAACCUCUCACCUUAGGUUAUUAAAAUAAGUUAUCUUAUUGCCACCCCUCUGAUUACCCUGCCAGAAAGAUUCUCUGAAUUGGAUAUAGAAAGCUCUUCUCCCGUCCCCAAUGCCCCCAUGCAAGUCGGGACUUACCAGAUGCCCAGGAUCCCUAUCAGGGCUGGAAGUUUGAGAUUCAAUUCAGAGCAAGGUUCAUCUUCUCAUUGCAAUAAUAAUAAUAACAACAACUUCAAGCCUUAUUUGACAGCUUGUUGGCCUUUUUCUUUUUUUAAUUUACAAGAAGAGGAAAUUUGCUCCCACAAAUUCCAAGACUCUAGUCUCAACCCUACCAGACAAGCCCCGUUCCUCCCCACUCACCCCUCACUCAAAUUACAGAUGAAGAGGGAGGUGUGCAGGAUGUGUGCGGUGACAGGUGAUGCGAAUGGGGGGGAUUCCCUGUCCCUACUGCCCUCACCCACUCUUCC
RNAcentral lists this long non-coding RNA (1156 nucleotides) under Homo sapiens (human). RNAcentral describes it as "HSALNT0020877". The record is from RNAcentral. Lineage: Eukaryota; Metazoa; Chordata; Mammalia; Primates; Hominidae.